AGUGAACGCUGGCGGUAGGCCUAACACAUGCAAGUCGAACGGUAGCACAGGAGAGCUUGCUCUCUGGGUGGCGAGUGGCGGACGGGUGAGGAAUACAUCGGAAUCUACUCUGUCGUGGGGGAUAACGUAGGGAAACUUACGCUAAUACCGCAUACGACCUACGGGUGAAAGCAGGGGAUCUUCGGACCUUUAGCGAGUGAAUGAGCCGGUUUGGGAUUAGCUAGGUGGCGGGGUAAAGGGCCACCAAGGCGACGAUCCGUAGCUGGGCUGAGAGGAUGAUCAGCCACACUGGAACUGAGACACGGUCCAGACUCCUACGGGAGGCAGCAGUGGGGAAUAUUGGACAACGGGCGCAAGCCUGAUCCAGCCAUACCGCGUGGGUGAAGAAGGCCUUCGGGUUGUAAAGCCCUUUUGUUGGGAAAGAAAUCCAGCUGGCUAAUACCCGGUUGGGAUGACGGUACCCAAAGAAUAAGCACCGGCUAACUUCGUGCCAGCAGCCGCCGUAA
Molecule: ribosomal RNA, 506 nt
Filed under: uncultured bacterium
Lineage: Bacteria
Description: partial 16S ribosomal RNA
Rfam family: Bacterial small subunit ribosomal RNA
Source: RNAcentral